RNAcentral lists this ribosomal RNA (449 nucleotides) under uncultured bacterium. Its description in RNAcentral is "partial 16S ribosomal RNA". It matches the Rfam family "Bacterial small subunit ribosomal RNA", at positions 29 to 523 of the family's 1533-position model. The record is from RNAcentral.
AACGAACGCUGGCGGCAUGCCUAACACAUGCAAGUCGAACGAGAUCUUCGGGUCUAGUGGCGCACGGGUGCGUAACGCGUGGGAAUCUGCCCUUUGGCUCGGAAUAACAGUUGGAAACGACCGCUAAUACCGGAUGAUGACGAAAGUCCAAAGAUUUAUCGCCAGAGGAUGAGCCCGCGUAGGAUUAGCUAGUUGGUGUGGUAAAGGCGCACCAAGGCGACGAUCCUUAGCUGGUCUGAGAGGAUGAUCAGCCACACUGGGACUGAGACACGGCCCAGACUCCUACGGGAGGCAGCAGUGGGGAAUAUUGGACAAUGGGCGAAAGCCUGAUCCAGCAAUGCCGCGUGAGUGAUGAAGGCCUUAGGGUUGUAAAGCUCUUUUACCCGGGAUGAUAAUGACAGUACCGGGAGAAUAAGCUCCGGCUAACUCCGUGCCAGCCGCCGCAGUAA